AUUGCACAAUGGGGGAAACCCUGAUGCAGCGACGCCGCGUGAGUGAGGAAGUAUUUCGGUAUGUAAAGCUCUAUCAGCAGGGAAUAGAAAAGAAGGUACCUGAAAAAGAAGCCCCGGCUAACUACGUGACAGCAGCCGCGGUAAUACGUAGGGGGCAAGCGUUAUCCGGAUUUACUGGGUGUAAAGGGAGCGUAGACGGAAUUGCAAGUCUGAUGUGAAAAUCCGAGGCUCAACCCCGGAACUGCAUUGGAAACUGUAUUUCUAGAGUGUCGGAGAGGCAAGUGGAAUUCCUGGUGUAGCGGUGAAAUGCGUAGAUAUCAGGAGGAACACCAGUGGCGAAGGCGGCUUGCUGGACGAUGACUGACGUUGAGGCUCGAAAGCGUGGGGAGCAAACAGG
Molecule: ribosomal RNA, 397 nt
Filed under: uncultured bacterium
Lineage: Bacteria
Description: bacterial SSU rRNA
Rfam family: Bacterial small subunit ribosomal RNA
Source: RNAcentral